This 590-nucleotide long non-coding RNA is filed under the name Bos indicus x Bos taurus (hybrid cattle). RNAcentral's name for it is "lncRNA (ENSBIXG00000010932.1)". The record is from RNAcentral. Lineage: Eukaryota; Metazoa; Chordata; Mammalia; Artiodactyla; Bovidae.
CUGCAAGCUGGGGAGGAGGACGGAGUCCAGGCUGCUGAAUCGGCAAUUAGCUCAAUCUCAGACCAUGUCUCCAGAUGGACACUUUGAGGGUUGGUAAUUGUGCUUGUAAGUCAGCCUUCUUUCUCAGAGUAAUACGACGGCCUGACAUGAAUUUCCUUAGACAUCUCAGAGACCAUCAGAUUUUGCCUUUGGCCUGAGAUUGAGUGAACUGAAUGUCUGGACUCAGAAAGUUGCUUGAACAGUCUCUACCCAUUAAAAACACACACAUCACAUACCUCACGUCUACCGCCCCCUCCCUCAGCGAGGACCAUCGAGCACAUGAGUUCCACUUGGACGGAAAAGCAACGCUAGCAUUGCAGCGCCGUGGGUUCAUGGCACAGCCCUGAGGCUGAUUAUGGUGAGUCCCGCAUGUCAUUUGUAAUCCUGCUACUUCAUAGUCACGAGCUGCAGAGCACAGACAACUAGCUUCCUUGUGAUCUAGAGAAUCUAUGUUCUUUCGUACGAGAUGCCAGCCUCUUUCUUUGCGUGCCCUUGUGAGAAAUUGAAAUGUUCUCCAAGUCUGGAGACAGACUUCCGAGUGAACUGCAUCU